Molecule: long non-coding RNA, 289 nt
Filed under: Nicotiana benthamiana
Lineage: Eukaryota; Viridiplantae; Streptophyta; Magnoliopsida; Solanales; Solanaceae
Description: long non-coding RNA (NBEN_LNC033526)
Source: RNAcentral
UCUCAAAGCUGAGAUUAGAACAAUGAGAUUACAGAUUAAAUUGACGCUAUCAUACAAAACUAACAGGUAAUUGUUUAGAGCACACUUGAAACAAUAUAAGGUCCUAUAGAAUGCUAGAGUUGCCAUAGAUUGGUUGGCAUAAUUGUUAUAGUCAUACUGUAUAAUUGUGUUGUCGAGUAUUAGAUUAUUACACGGUAUAUAGUAAUUGACAUGAGGUUGUUUCCUUUGUUUAUUUAAGUUGAUAUAUGUAGUAGCGCGGGACAUAUACCUGUUUUUUCCCAUCUUUUUG